GCCAGUACUGCGGUCACCAACCCGCCUGCCCAGCGUGGUGACUAUGGGCAAAACACAUGAGCUCACGUUAUUUUUGGCGUAAACUUGUGGAGGCCUAUAUCCAGCAGUGGACUGUAUAGGCUGUAAUGAUGAAUGAUGAUAUGCUAUAUUAUAUUAAUAGGUAAAUAAAUUAUAUGCUAGUUUUUUGUGCAUCUAUCGUUGUUCUUCUCAUAUGUACCUAUACGUACCGUAAAACCUUACAAGAUUGCCCAGCUUAUCUGAGUUUGCUCAGCAAGGUACUUUUCACAAAUAUUUAAAAAACCGGCAAUAUUUUUUUGCUGUGCUUAGUUUUUAAACUAUGGAAGAAAAUUGAAUAUGUGUCCUGCAAUACUAAUUAACUGAUUUUUUCUUACGUCAUUUCAGUUGGCUAUUAAACUGUGUUGAAGUUGGUGGUAUAUUUUGCGGGCCAAAAUUCGUGUGAAAAACUCUCUUUAAAACUCGAUUUGUAAUAAUCCCAAGGUGGGCAAGUUUUUGACCAUUGAAAGAUCGAAUAUCCGAUGCGAAAUCUCUCUUAAAUUCAAAAAUAUGAUGGUGGGCAUUGUCAAAUUAGUUUUUCCAAAGUAGUUGUUACAACUUUGUCCACCAAAAUGUUGUCGUUAAGGUUGUCACCUCAAUGUUAAAUUGGAUUCGAGAUAAGUAGAUACUAUUUUUUUCAUUAAUUUCGAAACUACCUAAGUGCAUACUUAAAUAGUAAUUUCAUAAUCCUUUGUUUUCAUUAAUUUUGUAAUUUAAUUUUGAAAUCAAUACAUGAGCUGAAAAUGAAAAUUUUGUUGAAAAG
RNAcentral lists this unclassified non-coding RNA (817 nucleotides) under Melitaea cinxia (Glanville fritillary). RNAcentral's name for it is "misc RNA ENSMCXG00005018056.1". Lineage: Eukaryota; Metazoa; Arthropoda; Insecta; Lepidoptera; Nymphalidae. The record is from RNAcentral.